RNAcentral lists this ribosomal RNA (449 nucleotides) under uncultured bacterium. RNAcentral's name for it is "partial 16S ribosomal RNA". It matches the Rfam family "Bacterial small subunit ribosomal RNA", at positions 330 to 793 of the family's 1533-position model. The record is from RNAcentral.
CCCAGACUCCUACGGGAGGCAGCAGUGGGGGAUAUUGCACAAUGGGGGAGACCCUGAUGCAGCGACGCCGCGUGGGCGAAGAAGUAUUUCGGUAUGUAAAGCCCUCUCAGCAGGGAAGAAGAAAUGACGGUACCUGAGUAAGAAGCACCGGCUAAAUACGUGCCAGCAGCCGCGGUAAUACGUAUGGUGCAAGCGUUAUCCGGAUUUACUGGGCGUAAAGGGCGUGUAGCCGGGCCGACAAGUCAGAUGUGAAAUCCGGGGGCUCAACCCCCGAACUGCAUUUGAAACUGUUGGUCUUGAGUAUCGGAGAGGCAGGCGGAAUUCCUAGUGUAGCGGUGAAAUGCGUAGAUAUUAGGAGGAACACCAGUGGCGAAGGCGGCCUGCUGGACGACAACUGACGGUGAGGCGCGAAAGCGUGGGGAGCAAACAGGAUUAGAUACCCCCGUAUG